This 483-nucleotide ribosomal RNA is filed under the name Trechisibus antarcticus. Its description in RNAcentral is "partial 16S ribosomal RNA". The record is from RNAcentral. Lineage: Eukaryota; Metazoa; Arthropoda; Insecta; Coleoptera; Carabidae.
GUCUUUUUGAUUUAUAUAUAAAGUUUGACCUGCCCACUGAAAAUUUUAAAUGGCUGCAGUAAUUUGACUGUACAAAGGUAGCAUAAUCAUUAGUUUUUUAAUUAAAAGCUUGUAUGAAAGGUUGGACGAAGUAAAAUCUGUCUCUUUUUAAUAUAAUUAGAAUUUAAUUUUUAAGUAAAAAAGCUUAAAUUUUUAUAAAAGACGAGAAGACCCUAUAGAGUUUAAUAAUUUUAAUAAAAUAUUUAAUUAAGAUUUAUUAAUUUUAUUUAAUUAAAAUUAUUUUAUUGGGGUAAUAAAAAGAUUAAAAAAAUUCUUUUUUUUUAAUACAUUAAUUUAUGAAUAUAUGAUCCAUUUGUAGUGAUUAAAAGAUUAAAUUACCUUAGGGAUAACAGCGUAAUUUUUUUAAAGAGUUCUUAUCGAUAAAAAAGUUUGCGACCUCGAUGUUGGAUUAAAGAUUAAUUUAGGUGUAGAAGUUUAAAUUUU